GCGUUAUCCUGAGGAAGACUUCUCCUUGAUGGUGGAUCUUGCUCCUAGAGAUGAAGAGGGGAGCGAGGAGGAGCUGGAGAGAGAGGAAGGGGAUCAGGGAGCUGAUAAUGUACCUGGGGAGCAGGGUGAGGGAGAUCCACCUGCUGACUGACUUGUAUAUAUUUUAUUUUGAAAUGAAUAGAAAUCCUCUUUUGUUCAAUUUCUUAAUGAGA
RNAcentral lists this unclassified non-coding RNA (212 nucleotides) under Hevea brasiliensis (rubber tree). The record is from RNAcentral. Lineage: Eukaryota; Viridiplantae; Streptophyta; Magnoliopsida; Malpighiales; Euphorbiaceae.